This 2783-nucleotide long non-coding RNA is filed under the name Cottoperca gobio. RNAcentral's name for it is "lncRNA (ENSCGOG00000011280.1)". The record is from RNAcentral. Lineage: Eukaryota; Metazoa; Chordata; Actinopteri; Perciformes; Bovichtidae.
CCGUUAACGCUGGUUGAUGUCGCUAUUUAAAUGCAAAUGUGUGUGUGUGUGUGUGGAGCACUCGCACCUUCACACACACACACACACACACACACACACACACACACACACACACACACACACACACACACACACACACACACACAAAAGGAAACACUUCACCUACAAUAAAGACAAGGAGGCUUUAACACACACACACACAGUCUGUAGAUCAGAAGAUAGAAGUUAAAAUGUUAAAAAUACAAUAAUUAAAUUAAAAUGAUGUUCAUCAACACUAUCAAGGCUUUUAUUUUUGUAAUAUUUGACCUCUUUUGUUGAACAAUCUCCUUCAAAAAUGUACAUUUAAUCAUAAAAUGAAACAUUAAAUCCAUUUAUUUAAACUUCAACAUUUGACUUUUCUAAUUUUAAGUUUAGUUUAGAAUAAAAUAUACAUAAACAAACAAUAUAUAUAAAUAUAAAGAAUAUAUUUUAACUGAGAUUUAAUCUGUGAUAUUUAUUUCCCUUCUUCUUCUUCUCCCCCUUCUCCUUCUCCUUCUUCUCCUUCUUCUCUUCCUUCUUCUCCUUCUUCUUCUCCUUCUUCUCCUUCUCCUCCUUCUUCUCCUUCUUCUCCUCCUCCUUCUUCUGCUCCUCUUUCUUCUCCUUCUCCUUCUCCUUCUUCUCCUUCUUCUCUUCCUUCUUCUCCUUCUUCUCCUUCUCCUCCUUCUUCUUCUCCUUCUUCUCCUCCUCCUUCUUCUGCUCCUCUUUCUUCUCCUCCUCCUUCUUCUUCUUCUCAUUCUCAUUCUCCUUCUUCUCCUUCUUCUCCUUCUUCUUCUGCUCUUUCUUCUUCUCCUUCUUCUCCUUCUUCUCCUUCUCCUUCUGCUCCUUCUCAUUCUUCUCCUUAUUUUCCUUCUUUUUCGGCUCCUUCUUCUUCUCCUUCUUUUUCUUCUCCUUCUUCUUCUGCCCCUUCUCCUUCUCCUUCUUCUCCUUCUUCUCCUUCUUCUUCUCCUUCUUCUCCUUCUCCUCCUUCUUCUUCUCCUUCUUCUCCUCCUCCUUCUUCUGCUCCUCUUUCUUCUCCUUCUCCAUCUUCUAAUUCUUCUCCUUCUCCUUCUCCUUCUUCUCCUUCUCUUCCUUCUUCUCCUUCUUCUUCUCCUUCUCCUCCUUCUUCUUCUCCUUCUUCUCCUCCUCCUCCUUCUGCUCCUCUUUCUUCUCCUCCUCCUUCUUCUUCUCAUUCUCAUUCUCCUUCUUCUCCUUCUUCUCCUUCUUCUUCUGCUCUUUCUUCUUCUCCUUCUUCUCCUUCUCCUUCUGCUCCUUCUCAUUCUUCUCCUUCUUAUUUUCCUUCUUUUUCGGCUCCUUCUUCUUCUCCUUCUUUUUCUUCUCCUCCUUCUUCUGCUCCUUCUCCUUCUUCUUCUUCUACUCCUUCUUCUUCUUCUCCUUCUUCUUCUGCUCCUUCUCUUUCUUCUUCUCCUUCUUCUUCUGCUCUUUCUCCUUCUUCUUCACCUUCUUCUUCUUCUGCUCCUUCUUCUUCUGCUCCUUCUCAUUCUUCUCCUUCUUUUCCUUCUUCUGCUCCUUCUUCUCCUUCUUCUUCUUCUUCUUCUUCUCCUCCUUUUCCUUCUUCUUCUUUUCCUUUUUUUUCUUCUUUUCCUUCUUUUUUUCCUUCUUCUUCUUCUCCUUCUUCUCCUUCUGCUCCUUCUUCUCCUUCUCCUUCUUCUUAUUUUCCUUCUUCUGCUCCUUCUUCUCCUUCUUCUUCUGCUCUUUCUUCUUCUCCUUCUUCUUCUUUUCCUUCUUCUUCUGCUCCUUCUUCUCCUUCUCCUUUUCCUUCUGCUCCUUCUUCUUCUCCUUCUCCUUCUUCUCCUUCUUCUUCUUUUCCUUCUUCUUUUCCUUCUCCUUCUCCUUCUUCUUCUCCUUCUUCUCCUUCUUUUCCUUCUUCUUCUGCUCCUUCUCCUUCUUCUGCUUCUUGUACUCCUUCUUCUGCUUCUUCUCCUUCUACUUCUCCUUCUUCUUCUCCUUCUUCUUCUGCUCCUUCUUCUUCUCCUUCUCCUUCUUCUGCUCCUUCUCCUUCUUCUUCGCCUUCUCAUUCUUCUUCUUCUUCUUCUUCUUCUCCUUUUUCUUCUCCCUUUUCUCCUUCUUCUUCUGCUCCUUCUCCUUCUUCUUCUGCUCCUUCUCCUUCUUCUUCUCCUUCUUCUGCUUCUUUUACUCCUUCUUCUGCUUCUUCUCCUUCUAAUUCUCCUUCUUCUUCUUCUGCUCCUUCUCAUUCUUCUCCGUCUCCUUUUCCUUCUCCUUCUGCUCCUUCUUCUCCUUCUUCUUCUUCUUCUCCUUCUUCUGCUUCUUUUACUCCUUCUUCUCCUUCUUCUGCUUCUUCUCCUUCUCCUUCUUUUCCUUCUUCUUCUGCUCCUUCUUCUCCUUCUUCUUCUGCUCCUUCUUCUUCUCCUUCUCCUUCUUUUCCUUCUUCUGCUCCUUCUCCUUCUUCUUCUUCUCCUUCUGCUUCUUUUACUCCUUCUGCUUCUUCCCCUUCUACUCCUCCUUCUUCUUCUUCUGCUCCUUCUUCUCCUUCUUCUUCUGCUCCUUCUUCUUCUCCUUCUCCUUCUCCUUCUUCUGCUCCUUCUUCUUCUUCUUCUCCUUCUUCUUCUUCUUCUUCUCCUUCUUCUCCUUCUUCUCCUUCUUCUCCUUCUUCUUCUCCUUCUGCUCCUUCUGCUCCUUCUCCUUCUUCUUCUUCUUCUCCUUCUUCUCCUUCUUCUUCUUUUGCUCCUAUACAGAAUCUCAUAGAGAUGUUUGAAGACCACAGAAGUGAAAUCAGGUAAAACAUU